Long non-coding RNA from Tympanuchus pallidicinctus (lesser prairie-chicken), 2538 nucleotides. RefSeq lists it as uncharacterized. Lineage: Eukaryota; Metazoa; Chordata; Aves; Galliformes; Phasianidae. The record is from RefSeq and is a predicted model, not a curated record. The transcript has 2 exons.
UCCUGAAGGGUGGAGAAUGCAGGGAAUGAGCUCAGCAAGCACUUUUAGGGUCAGAGCCCUGGUGGCAUGCUGAGCCCAGGCUUGGACUGAGGCCAUGUGAGAACUUUGCAGGCUCACAAUCAGGAUGCAGAGCAUCACCGAGUCCAUCUGCAUUACCUUCCACGUGCUUUGGGUGCAGCAAACCCAACAGACACAUCCCCAGGCUCCAGUUUUCCUGCUUUCCUGCAGAACCCUUUACAAAGCUCCCCCUGGCACUGCCUGGGGAGCUGCAGAACAAGUCUGCGUUGUUUCUGGCUGCCUGAGCUGGGGGGAGGACAAGGCAUGGGGGGAGAAAAAAACACAAAUGCUGACCUUACCCAGCUGUGCUAAAUGCUCUGGGCUUGUCAUGGUUUGUGCAUAAUCCCUUGUCUCCAUGCAUAGGGUUAGGGAAGCUUGGCUUUUAUUCCUCAAGCAGAAAAACAGCAACACUGAAUUACAUGGGGCAAUAUUUGCUGGCGUCAGUCCCCCAAAGCAAAGCUUUGCUUCUCAGAAACACUUGUGUUGGUGAUGCCCAGGUGCCCCUCUUUGUCAGGACUGCCAGCUGUACAGUGACAUCUUGCUCCCCAGCCCUGAAACAGUGCCGCUCUCCACUUCUCUUUUAGUUGGUGCUUUUUCCCCUGCAGACCUCUGAGUGAUUGAGAGGUUUUUCUGGACAGCAGUCUCUAGCUCUCAAAGAGGACUGUGAAGUAGUUAGCAGCAUCUGCCACGCUCACCCUUCCAGCCAUUCUGUGCUGCUAUUGAUUCUGAGGGCUACGUAAUUUAUUUAUUUUCAUAUUCUUCUGCAGCUCUUCCACAAAGAGCCCUUCAGCAACGCGUGCCUGACAGAUGGCCUCAGAGCUCUGCUGUGUUUUAGCAGCUCUGCGUGCCCAGAGGCGCAUUUAAACACACACAGCUUCCCAGCUGCCUCCCACUGCUCACUGCCACGUAAGGGACUGCUUUGCAGGGCACACUGGUGCUGGGACAGCUGGGUUACAUCACUGCUUGCUUCCUUACCUGCACAGCAUCUUCCAUCAGGGACCUUCCCCAGGAUAAGGGUGCAGCGUGACCUGUGCUGCAGGAUCAGCUUGCUGGGUGCAAACCUUUGGCAGGCACCCACUGCUUAUUUGCUCCUUAAUUGUUUCCAUUCAUUCAGAGUUUUCCCAAGCUGGAAAUCAUCACUGGUGACCAGUUAGCUCCAAGAAUGCGGAGGGCAUUGCAGGAGAACAAUGGACAUUUCCCUGAAGACGCUCAAGUUACCAUUAAGCAGUCAGAAAUACAAAUAAAGAGAGCAAAAGAAGCUAUCCAGCAUAUAUUUGAGUGGAAUUGUAUUACCAUGCAGAUCCCUAACAAGUUAACCUACAGAGAUCUCGGGAGAUGAGGAGAAUGAGUGUAUGGGAACUGCUGCAUCACGGCCUGAAGCUCUGAUUGAUCACCUGAGGUGAGCUGUGGGUCAGCCAGAGGAGCACAGGUGAAGGCAAUUCACCUGUCCUAGACCUAUUUAAGAGCUGGCUACCAGUGGGGAAGGAUCUCAUCUGGAGAUCUGCUCUGCUGGUGUUUUUUGUGGGUGAGCCUAGCAUAUGGGAUGAGAACUCACAGUUAUACUGUGCUCAUAGCUACCUGCCAUAAAUCCGGCACGAAGCAGCUGUCUCCUGUGAUUCAUGCUGGGGAUGCAUCCAGAUCAAGGUAAGCUGCCUGCUUGGUACUCACUGUCGGUACCUUCAGCUCUUUCUGGGUAUUUUUUUUUUUUUAUCUUGGAAAUGAACACUGAGAAAAUGAAUACUCCUGGCUCAAAACCCUUGUAGCCUCUUAUCAGACCAGAGGCUUGAUUUUAAAGAAAACAAGAAAAUUGCCUUCCUCUCCAGAAGGAUGCCAGGCUCAGCUGUGCUGAACUCCGGAACAAAGCCCAUGUGAGGGUUUGAGGAGCACAUGCACAGCACACACAGCAGCCUCCUGCAGGCCCAGUCCCCAGCUGGCACAGCUGCCCCAAGGCAGAAGACAUCAAGGGUGCCUCUGUUCUAAGGACAGAGAUCUCAGGGCUGCAGUCUCACUGCUGUGCUGUAGUCAUGCUUUGCUGCACCAGGGCAUCCCUGAGGUAGAGCUUACCCCAAGAUCUGCUGUGAUGCGGAGAAGUGGCUCCAGCUGAAAACAGAACGCAGGUGUUUCUUCCUUUAUAGUCCAGGGAGUUCUCUGAUGCAUAUGCACUGUAUGAUAUUCUGCAAGAUGCCCUACCAACCAUAUGGAGCUGUGUAAGGGGACUUCCAGCAGAGUUAUUGGUCAGGUUCUGCACCUUGGGAAGUGAUUUCAGGUUGCAAGUCAGACCAGGAAAAAAGCAAGACAGUUUAGUCUGUGCUCCCACCCUGCAGAGUCCUGUAACAAUAGAAAAAGCCUUAAAAUGCAAAAAUCUGUGUUCCAACCAUUCAGGCUAUGGGCUGGAACAGUCUUGUUCACUCAGUACACAGAAGCAUUCAGCAGUAAUUUGAACUGUAAAUGAGACAUAUCGGACCAGUUUCACCUGAAGCA